CCUACGGGGGGCUGCAGUGGGGAAUAUUGCACAAUGGGCGCAAGCCUGAUGCAGCCAUGCCGCGUGUGUGAAGAAGGCCUUCGGGUUGUAAAGCACUUUCAGCGGGGAGGAAGGCGGUGAGGUUAAUAACCUCAUCGAUUGACGUUACCCGCGGAAGAAGCACCGGCUAACUCCGUGCCAGCAGCCGCGGUAAUACGGAGGGUGCAAGCGUUAAUCGGAAUUACUGGGCGUAAAGCGCACGCAGGCGGUCUGUCAAGUCGGAUGUGAAAUCCCCGGGCUCAACCUGGGAACUGCAUUCGAAACUGGCAGGCUAGAGUCUUGUAGAGGGGGGUAGAAUUCCAGGUGUAGCGGUGAAAUGCGUAGAGAUCUGGAGGAAUACCGGUGGCGAAGGCGGCCCCCUGGACAAAGACUGACGCUCAGGUGCGAAAGCGUGGGGAGCAAACAGGAUUAGAUACCCGGGUAGUC
Molecule: ribosomal RNA, 465 nt
Filed under: uncultured Klebsiella sp.
Lineage: Bacteria; Pseudomonadati; Pseudomonadota; Gammaproteobacteria; Enterobacterales; Enterobacteriaceae
Description: bacterial SSU rRNA
Rfam family: Bacterial small subunit ribosomal RNA
Source: RNAcentral